UUCUGGUUGAUCCCGCCGGACCCUACUGCUAUCGGGAUGGGACUAAGACAUGCUAGUCGUGCGCUUCUAAGCCAUGGUGGAGGCGCGGCGCACAGCUCAGUAACACGUGGUUAACCUGCCCUUGGGACGGAAACACCCCCGGGAAAACUGGGGGCUAAUUUCCGAUAGGUGAAGACUCCUGGAAUGGAUCUUCGCCUAAAGGGCGCUUAGGCCAUGCUUCUAGGCGCUGCCCAAGGAUGGGACCGCGGCCGAUCAGGUUGUUGAUGAGGUAAUGGCUCACCAAGCCUUUAACCGGUUCGGGCCGUGGGAGCGGGAGCCCGGAGAUGGGCACUGAGACAAGGGCCCAGGGUCCUACGGGGCGCAGCAGUCGCGAAAACUCCGCAAUACGCGAAGGCGUGACGGGGCUAUCCCGAGUGCCCGUCGCGCUGAGGAUGGCUUUUCCCCAGUGUAGAUAGCUGGGGGAAAUAAGGAGAGGGCAAGUCUGGGUGUCAGCCCGCCGCGGUAAUACCAGCUCUCCGAGUGGUGGGGACGUUUAUUGGGCCUGAAGCAUCCGUAGCCAGCUGAGCAAGUCCCCAGUUAAAUCCAGCGAUUUAAUCGUUGGACUGCUGGGGAUACUGUCCGGCUUGGGGGUGGGAGAGGCCGACGGUAUUCCCGGGGUAGGGGUGAAAUCCUAUAAUCCCGGGAGGACCACCAGUGGCGAAGGCUGUUGGCUAAAACAUGCCCGACGGUGAGGGAUGAAAGCUGGGGGAGCGAACCGGAUUAGAUACCCGGGUAGUCCCAGCUGUAAACGAUGCAGGCUAGGUGUUAGGGCGGCCACGUGCCGCUCUAGUGCCGCAGGGAAGCUGUUAAGCCUGCCGCCUGGGGAGUACGGCCGCAAGGCUGAAACUUAAAGGAAUUGGCGGGGGAGCAC
This 910-nucleotide ribosomal RNA is filed under the name crenarchaeote enrichment culture clone 61-67f. RNAcentral's name for it is "bacterial SSU rRNA". It matches the Rfam family "Archaeal small subunit ribosomal RNA", at positions 1 to 879 of the family's 1478-position model. Lineage: Archaea; Thermoproteati; Thermoproteota. The record is from RNAcentral.